AGUGUUUGUGCUGCAGGUCCACGGCACCGCCCCUGACAUCGCCGGCAUGGACCUGGCGAACCCCACUGCCCUGUUACUGAGUGCUGUCAUGAUGCUGCGUCACAUGGGUCUGCAUGACCAUGCCGACAAGAUCCAGACGGCCUGUUUUGACACCAUCAGAGACAAGAAGGUUCUGACGAAGGACCUGGGAGGAAGUGCAAAGUGCUCUGAGUUCACAGCUGAGAUCUGCCGUCGUGUCCAGGAUCUGGACUGAAGCUGCAGGGGAGAGGCCGCUGUUGGAGGCUCCCCCCGCCCGCCCACCUAUCCUGCUGACUCGUCAUAUCUCUCUGGAGCUGCUGGCUGUGGAGGGGCGGGGCUUCUGCAGCAACAUCCUUAACAUUCACAGCAAGCGUAACGCACAAGUUUCACCAAGAAGCAUGAGAUGAGCCUUUCUUACUGUAAUAUCAGAUGAAUGAUGGUAUCAGUGCUUCGUUCCAUUCGCAUAUUCUUUAUCGUAUUUUUGUAACAGUAGUACUGCGGGUAAAAGGUCCUCUUAUUUAUUUUUUCCACUUCCUGUUACUGCUUUAUUCACUCCUACUCACCCGGAUAUAUAAAAAUUCUACAAAGAAA
Haplochromis burtoni (Burton's mouthbrooder) is the source of this 609-nucleotide RNA transcript. RefSeq lists it as uncharacterized. The record is from RefSeq and is a predicted model, not a curated record. NCBI's taxonomy places the organism in Eukaryota, Metazoa, Chordata, Actinopteri, Cichliformes, Cichlidae. The transcript has 2 exons.